ACUUCCUGUGGUGACCAACGGCCCAGGCCUGGGGGAUUAAAGAACUGCUCACUCUAGUGGGACCGAGACAGUCGGACGAGAAAUGGAAGAAUUAUUGAAAAGAUGCUGUUCUAGUGGCACUAUGAAUCCGUUAUUUUCCUGCCAAGAACCUGUGAUUUUCCAGGGCUUGGCAGUGAGCAACCCCACACACUGAGAACUGGAGAACUGUGGUGUGGCUAUGGUGGGGGAGGGGGGAGGCACCUACCAAGGGCACAAGGACAGAAAGUGAAAUGUGGAGUACAGGGGAAAAUUGAAACAAAGUGCGAAAUGUACGUCACGGGAGCAAAACGGUUAAACUUCUCUCCUCCGCAGCCCUCCAAAGCAGCUGCAUCCAGGAGGGAAGUUUGCCAUGGAAACACAGGAAGUAUCAGAUCUGGGCAACAAGGGAAGCUUUUCUUGUAGGAUCCAAACUGGAAGUAGCUCUCUUCUCACCAAAAGCCUGGGGCUCUACAGCGUGUCUCGUCUCUUCACGGUGACUUAGGGUGUGGGGACGGAGGCACUAUUUAUGGAGCGAGCAGCCAGAGAUGGCAGUUAGCAGAACAUAUCUGGAGAAAGCAACCUCUGACAAAUGGAAGUGAUGAGGCAUUUUACUUAACCGUGAGCUCUGCGUAAAUACAUGUAUAUAGAGAGAUAGCAUUACAUAACUGGCAUUAAGUCUUGAUACAGGAGGGUGGGCACUUCAGCCCCAACAGUGAGCGACCUGGACAGAAGGACUGAGCCUUGGGCAAGAAAAGACCCAGAUCUGGAAGACGGAGGAAGGACAUGGCAGUAGGACACAGCAGAGAUACUCUCCUCAGCCACAUCUGGCCAAUGGUUUUUAAAAAUUUCUUAGUGAUCGGGUUGUAAAUUGUUAUCUGCCCUAAGUUGGAUGUUAUUUGCUGUUUAGUGUAUCUUUAAGUCAGUUGAAGUUAUUGGCACAUAAAUUAUAUGUCGUUCCUUUUUCCACAUGGGAUUUGAGUCCUUCUCAAGGGAUUUUUUUUUUUUUCCUAUGAAGUGUACAAAGACCCCACCCGAUAACAUUACAUACGUUUGCUUCACUAGGAGGACCUAAAUUUGCUAGAAUUUGGGUUCCCAGAGUGAACAAAGCAGAGCAACAGCUGCCUUUAGAGAAAGCCACUAACCGCAGCUAGUUCCCACCCAGAGUCGUACCACGACUUCUAGAAGCAAAGGACAAAGGGAAAGGCAAGAGAUGAGAAAGGCUGCGUGGGACAUAAAAUCCCAGAUGAGAGGGGCUGCAGAAGACAGUGAGCACAUACAGGGUAGUGUGACUGUUAGGUCAGGAGAAACUGUAAAACUGUGGACAGAUCUGCGAAGAAGGGGCUGUAACUUGGAAAUAGAACUUGCAAGCAAAAAUAAUCAACAUCAAGUACACGAUAGAUGACUUCGGCCGUCUGUAAAAAUAACCCCAUCCCGGAGAACGGUUGGGAGAAUCUUGCACGUCAUGCUGCCUUAUGGCCCCUGACGUUGUGCUGCAUCGUCUGUGUAGGAGUCUGUCUCAUCCUCUGUGAUGUACGUGCUACAAGAGCAGUGGAAAUGGCUUGGAGAGCAUGUGCCACAGACCCCGGGGUUUGGAAUCAUGACUUACACCCAUUCCACAUGACUCCCUGGUCUAUGAUCCUUCAACUGGAAUGCACCGUUACCUAAAUGGACAUCAGCCAAGCUUCUCAGCCCCAAUGUGUAACUUCCUAAACCACGUCCGAGGGCCCCGGUCAUAAGGAAACCUGGAAGAGUGAAGAAAGGCCUGAUUGAUCACAAGGUCCUAUCAAAUGUCAAAGCCGGCCCUGGCUGACCUCCCAUCUAUUCAGAGCUGCUUUGAUUUAAUCUCCAAACUGGCUGCUUCUCCAGGCUAGAAGAGGAUUGAAAAUGUCCAUGAGGAAAGGUGAUGAUAGUGUCUUCAUGGAACCCUUGGGUAAGAUUGAUUGGCAAAGAAUAAGGUGAUCUGGGUUUUAAAAUCUGGCUUCGCAACAACUAACCUAUUGAGUAAGUCAAUUUCGGUGGUCUUAGUUACUUGAUAUGCAUGAUAAGGAGGUUGGAAUAAAUAAUUUUCUUUGUUCUCACGGUGGAUAAAUUGUAUGAACCUCUUCUGUUUUAUAUUUAGAAUCAAAUAUUACAUUUUCCUUCAUACCUCAGUAAUGUGUAUAAGCACUCAGUGCCAGAGGCUUGUUAGUGCUAAGUAUUUGUUGAGU
Long non-coding RNA from Ailuropoda melanoleuca (giant panda), 2225 nucleotides. RefSeq lists it as uncharacterized. The transcript has 6 exons. The record is from RefSeq and is a predicted model, not a curated record. NCBI's taxonomy places the organism in Eukaryota, Metazoa, Chordata, Mammalia, Carnivora, Ursidae.